This 165-nucleotide ribosomal RNA is filed under the name Cladosporium lebrasiae. RNAcentral's name for it is "partial large subunit ribosomal RNA". It matches the Rfam family "Eukaryotic large subunit ribosomal RNA", at positions 99 to 261 of the family's 3401-position model. The record is from RNAcentral. Lineage: Eukaryota; Fungi; Ascomycota; Dothideomycetes; Cladosporiales; Cladosporiaceae.
CAGCAAUAGCUCAAAUUUGAAAUCUGGCGUCUUCGGCGUCCGAGUUGUAAUUUGUAGAGGAUGCUUCUGGGCAGCCACCGACCUAAGUUCCUUGGAACAGGACGUCAUAGAGGGUGAGAAUCCCGUAUGCGGUCGGAAAGGCACCCUACACGUAGCUCCUUCGAC